RNAcentral lists this ribosomal RNA (439 nucleotides) under uncultured bacterium. RNAcentral's name for it is "bacterial SSU rRNA". It matches the Rfam family "Bacterial small subunit ribosomal RNA", at positions 28 to 494 of the family's 1533-position model. The record is from RNAcentral.
GACGAACGCUGGCGGCGUGCAUAACACAUGCAAGUCACGGGGGCCAGCAAUGGCAACCGGCGAACGGGUGCGUAACACGUAAGCGACCUACCUCGAUGUGGGGCAUAGCCGGCCUAACGGCCGGGUAAUUCCGCAUGUGAUCCUUGAGGGGCAUAUCUCGGGGAUGAAACCAGUAAUGGGCAUUGAGAGGGGCUUGCGGCCUAUCAGCUUGUUGGCGGGGUAACGGCUCACCAAGGCGACGACGGGUAGCUGGUCUGAGAGGAUGGCCAGCCACAUUGGGACUGAGAAACGGCCCAGACUCCUACGGGAGGCAGCAGUGGGGAAUAUUGGACAAUGGGCGCAAGCCUGAUCCAGCCAUGCCGCGUGAGUGAUGAAGGCCUUAGGGUUGUAAAGCUCUUUCGGCGGGGACGAUAAUGACGGUACCCGCAGAAGAAGCCCC